This is a long non-coding RNA of Mastomys coucha (southern multimammate mouse), 823 nucleotides long. RefSeq lists it as uncharacterized. The record is from RefSeq and is a predicted model, not a curated record. Lineage: Eukaryota; Metazoa; Chordata; Mammalia; Rodentia; Muridae. The transcript has 2 exons.
AGCUGAUUGGCCAUUUAAUCCAGGGUGGAGGAAGCGUUGCACUGGGUCCUGGGAGGCCUCCUGGCCCGGCUGCUUCAUGCUGUGUUCCCAUUUCCCGGGAGGUCUGACAGUGGUCGAGAACUCCGGAACCAGAAGCCUCGCUGCACGGUGCGUUUCUGUGAUGCCUGCUGAUGCCAGCUUUUCAUUGGUCGGGUUGAGGCCCAUAUGGCCGAUAUAGUUCAGUGUUGAAAUUCUUUGGACAGCGGAGGAAGAAGCCUUCGAAGCUUCCUUCUCAACGAGGUUCUCAACCCUGCUCUGCCAAGUGGCCUACCGUGUGACCUUCUGCAACAUGCUCCGUGUUUCUAGUUGGUAAAUGAAAGGUGUUGACAUCUUUGAGUCAACCAGUUCAGGCUUCCAACUGUACUUUCAGCUGCGUUUGCAGGACUCAUAAGUCUUUUCUUAUAGAAAGAGACUAGUUAGUGCAAGUUGGAGCAGUGUAACCCAAACUUAGGACAGUCAGGCCAGAGGACACUUGGGAAACAAAUGGGACGGGAUGGAGCGGGGAGCAAAGGCUGAGGAGGCCCCAGGCCGUCCAAGCUCCCCAAGGAAGCCUUAGGCUAGCUAAGGAGGUUGAUAAGGAACACAAUUUUGAGCCUGUGUCUUGGGCUCCAAGGGUCCUGGGUGAAAUGGAUGGGCUGGCACUCCUGAAAACCUUUUGUGAGGAGUUUGAGAUACACUCUGUGAAUUAGAAUCAGGAGACCCACUCCAUCACCACUACCACCACCUUUCUUGCAGCCCCUCAUCCUUUCCCUAAAGUGCAAGGUUUGUAUCAGUAAAUUUUCCC